GACGAACGCUGGCGGCGUGCUUAACACAUGCAAGUCGAACGUGAUUUUUGUGGAAAGCCCUUCGGGGACGGAAAUGAAAUGAAAGUGGCGAACGGGUGAGUAACACGUGAGCAACCUACCUUACACAGGGGGAUAGCCGUUGGAAACGACGAUUAAUACCGCAUGAGACCACAAAGCCACAUGGCUUAGGGGUAAAAGAUUAUCGGUGUAAGAUGGGCUCGCGUCUGAUUAGCUAGUUGGAAGGGUAAAGGCCUACCAAGGCAACGAUCAGUAGCCGGUCUGAGAGGAUGAACGGCCACAUUGGAACUGAGACACGGUCCAAACUCCUACGGGAGGCAGCAGUGGGGAAUAUUGCACAAUGGGGGGAACCCUGAUGCAGCGACGCCGCGUGAGCGAAGAAGGUUUUCGAAUCGUAAAGCUCUGUCCUAUGAGAAGAUAAUGACGGUAUCAUAGGAGGAAGCCCCGGCUAAAUACGUGCCAGCAGCCGCGGUAAUACGUAUGGGGCGAGCGUUGUCCGGAAUUAUUGGGCGUAAAGGGUACGUAGGCGGCCUUUUAAGUCAGGUGUGAAAGCGUGAGGCUUAACCUCAUUAAGCACUUGAAACUGGAAGGCUUGAGUGAAGGAGAGGAAAGUGGAAUUCCUAGUGUAGCGGUGAAAUGCGUAGAUAUUAGGAGGAAUACCGGUGGCGAAGGCGACUUUCUGGACUUUUACUGACGCUCAGGUACGAAAGCGUGGGGAGCAAACAGG
Molecule: ribosomal RNA, 745 nt
Filed under: uncultured Parvimonas sp.
Lineage: Bacteria; Bacillati; Bacillota; Tissierellia; Tissierellales; Peptoniphilaceae
Description: bacterial SSU rRNA
Rfam family: Bacterial small subunit ribosomal RNA
Source: RNAcentral